AUACUUACCAGGCAGGGGAGAUGCCUGUGAUCAUGCAGUUAGUUUUCCCAGAGUGAGGCUUAUUCACUGGACUCCGGAUGUACUAACCCCUGCAAUUUCCCAAAUAAGGGCAACUCGACUGCAUAAUUUGUGGUAGUGGGGGACUGCGUUUGCCCUCUCUCCUU
RNAcentral lists this small nuclear RNA (164 nucleotides) under Carlito syrichta (Philippine tarsier). Its description in RNAcentral is "U1 spliceosomal RNA (ENSTSYG00000019926.2)". It matches the Rfam family "U1 spliceosomal RNA". Rfam says of the family: U1 is a small nuclear RNA (snRNA) component of the spliceosome (involved in pre-mRNA splicing). Its 5' end forms complementary base pairs with the 5' splice junction, thus defining the 5' donor site of an intron. Lineage: Eukaryota; Metazoa; Chordata; Mammalia; Primates; Tarsiidae. The record is from Rfam by way of RNAcentral.